This 118-nucleotide ribosomal RNA is filed under the name Prolemur simus (greater bamboo lemur). The record is from RNAcentral. Lineage: Eukaryota; Metazoa; Chordata; Mammalia; Primates; Lemuridae.
ACUAUGGCUAUACCACCCUGAAUGUGCUGGAUCUCGUCUGAUCUCAAAAGCUAAGCAGGGUUGGGCCUGGUUAGUAUUUGGAUGGGAGAAAGAUAAGAUAAAGUAAGGACUAUGAGAG